RNAcentral lists this ribosomal RNA (484 nucleotides) under uncultured bacterium. Its description in RNAcentral is "partial 16S ribosomal RNA". It matches the Rfam family "Bacterial small subunit ribosomal RNA", at positions 29 to 507 of the family's 1533-position model. The record is from RNAcentral.
AUUGAACGCUGGCGGCAUGCUUUACACAUGCAAGUCGAACGGCAGCGCGGGCUUCGGCCUGGCGGCGAGUAGCGAACGGGUGAGUAAUACAUCGGAACGUGCCCAGUAGUGGGGGAUAGCUCGGCGAAAGCCGGAUUAAUACCGCAUACGACCUGAGGGUGAAAGCGGGGGAUCUUCGGACCUCGCGCUAUUGGAGCGGCCGAUGGCAGAUUAGCUAGUUGGUGGGGUAAAGGCCUACCAAGGCGACGAUCUGUAGCUGGUCUGAGAGGACGACCAGCCACACUGGGACUGAGACACGGCCCAGACUCCUACGGGAGGCAGCAGUGGGGAAUUUUGGACAAUGGGCGAAAGCCUGAUCCAGCAAUGCCGCGUGUGUGAUGAAGGCCUUCGGAUUGUAAAGCACUUUUGGCGGGAACGAAAAGGACUGUGCCAAUACCACGGUUCGAUGACGGUACCCGCAGAAUAAGCACCGGCUAACUACGUG